UGAUUCCGUAGUUGUGUUCACCAUCUCAAGGGCUUCGAGAAGCACCCCUUAUUUGUGCCAACAGGACUUCGAAAUCAAAAGGGCCAUUUUAUGGUAAGGAUGUAAAUUAUGUUGGUGUUAUUUAUAUGGAUAUGUAUAUAUAUAUAUAUGCAUGUGAGCAUAAGAAGUAUGUUAUUUGAUUGUUGUUGAAAGAUGAUUGGAAAUGAUGUUGGAUUAUUCUUGUGCAUGGUUGGAUUAUGUUAAAUUGUGAAGGAAUUUGGGGUGAUGAUGUAGUAUUGAUGAUGUGGUAUUGAAAUGAUGAUUAUAUACACACACACACAUAAACCUAUUGUUCAAGUUGGUUUUUGGAAUGCUUUGCAAAUAUUGGUUGUAUGGAAUUAUGGAAGAGAAUUGUGGUGUUGGGUUGCUAAUACUAGAUGCCAAACAUUUCAUUGUAGAUAAGUGAUUUGUAAAGGCGGGAAGUUGUGUUGAAUUGGUAUCCGAAUCUACGACGAAGUAUGUAAAGCAUACUCUCUAUUGUCACACCCCAAAAUCCCAUCGGGCCGGACUGGCACCCGAAGCCGAGAAGGCCCGGGAGAACCCGUUCAAAUACCUGUACUUUCACUUAUAUGUCACCAAAAAUUUGGACAGCACUUUGUUGCAUAUAGUAGGGUCUAAUUACCUGUAUCAGCACAACACGCACAAAUAUAAAUAUAUCUAAUACUUGGCCGUCGGGGCCACCACAUAUACAAAUAUAACAUCACUAUAUAAAAUUUCAUGACUUUACCCUUCCUUAUGUCUACAAAGCCUCUAGGAUAUACAUGACAUAACUAGGGUCGGGACAAACCCCCGCCCACACAUGACUCCUGUACAAUAACAAAACAUAAGGGACAAGUUCUAGUAAGUGUGGUCCACUCCUAUUACGACUUAUUCACUUGUUUCUGAUUUCUAUUGAGCUCCUAUAUCAUAUGUGAUUAUUUACAGCUUUACAUACUCAGUACAUAUUUCGUACUGACGUCCCUCACGGGGGACCUGCAUUUCAUGCUGCAGGCACAGGUACCUCAACUCAUACACCGCACAAGUAGGAGCCAGGUCAUACAGCUAUUGUUGGUGAGCUCCAGUUUGCUUCGGAGCUUUCCGAGUCGGUUCCUUAUGUUUUGUUAUUGUACAUGAGUCACGUGUGGGCGGGGGUUUGUCCCGACCCUAGUUAUGUCAUGUAUAUCCUAGAGGCUUUGUAGACAUAAGGAAGGGUAAAGUCAUGGAAGUUUAUAUAGUAACGUUAUAUUUGUAUAUGUGGUGGCCCCGACGGCCAAGUAUUAUAUAUAUAUAUUUGUGCGUGUUGUGCUGAUACAGGUAAUUAGACCUUUCUAUAUGCAACGAAGUGCUGUCCAAUUUUUUUGGUGACAUGUAAGUGAAAGUACAGGUAUUUGAACGGGUUCUCCCGGGCCUUCUCGGCUUCGGGUGCCAGUCCGGCCCGAUGGGAUUUUGGGGCGUGACAAAAGUGGUAUCAGAGAGGUUCGUCCUAGUGAGUCUACAAAGCCGUGUCUACGUAGGGUCUUGUUUAUCGGUGUGUUGUGCACCACAUCUAUAAACAGGAGGCUAUGGACAUUUAGGAAUUGUUUCUUUUCUUCAUGUCUUAGAUCGUGCGAUAGAGCUUAUAUUGUAUAUGAAGUCAUAGUUGACCACUGAAUCAGUUUGUUUCUCUUAUUAUAGUAAUGAUGCCGGUUACCAGAAGCAAGAAUACCGGUAAGCAAGUAGAUGUGGCUGCCGGAGAGGGGACUAGUAAGUCACCCACUAUACCAGCUAAUCAAAGUGAGGCUCCAGCUGAGCAUGCAUCAGAAACUUCCUCCAGUCCGGAAGAAAUAAGGGGGAGGAGAACUAUAUCCGCAGAGCCACCUAUUAAUGUUGUUGAUCAAGAUCUUAGAAAUGCAGUGCAACUUUUGACUCGUAUAGUUGCUGGGCAAGCUCAAGGGCAAGCCAUUCCUACUGCAGGUCCUAGUGGUAUAGAUAGGGCGGCUAGCCUUCGAACACAGGAUUUUCUUAAGAUGGAUCCUCCCACUUUUACUGGAUCAGAUCUUAACGAGGACCCACAGGACUUUAUCGAUCAAAUUCAAAGGGCCUUGGAUGUUAUGCAUGUAACGGGUAGAGAGACAGUGGAGUUAGCGGCGUAUAGAUUUAAAGGGGAGGCUAUAUAUUGGUAUGAGGACUGGAAACGAUCUAGGGGUAUUGAUGCACCCCCAGCUACUUGGAAGGAGUUCAAAGAGGCAUUUCUUGAUCAUUAUCUUCCAUUCGAGAUUCGUCAGGCCCGUGCAGAUCAGUUUUUAAAUCUUCGUCAGGGGAAUAUGAGCGUGAGGGAGUACAGUCUUCGAUUUAAUUCCUUGUCGAGAUAUGCUCCUAAUGUUGUAGCUACUAUGGUUGACAGAGUUCAUCAAUAUGUGGAUAGGCUAGAUCCAUAUCUGGUUAGAGAUUGUACUAUUGCUGCUUUGAACAAAGAUAUGGACAUAGCGAGAAUCCAAGCUUUUGCACAAAAAAUGGAAGAUCAGAGGCAGAGGAGAAGAACACAGGAAUCAGAAAGAGGAUAUUCCAAGAGGGCCAGAUCUACAGGGCAGUUCAUGGCAUUCGAAAGAGGGUUCAGACCACAGUUUUCUGCUAGACCACCUAGGCCAUUAUCCUCUUAUUCUACAGCUAGUGCCCCACCACAGUUCCAAGGGUUCAGAGGAAAUCAAUUUGGGCACAGAAGUGAGAGUCAGAGUUCGCGGACAGUGGGGUACCAAGGUCAAGGGAAUAUGAGCCAAUCAAGACCUCCUCGAGAGCCAUGCAAUAAAUGUGGAAGGUAUCAUUUGGGCGCAUGUCGGCUGGGGACCAAUGUUUGCUUUUGGUGCGGUAUGUCGGGGCAUAUGAUGAGGGAAUGCCCACGAAGGGACAUAGGGGGUAUGGCACGACCUACGGGGUCAUUUGUUGCAUCAUCAUCAUCGAUGCCUUAUUCAGGAAGGGGUGCACAGCCAAUGGGUCGUGUUAGAGGUGAUAGAGGAGCCACGAGUUCUAGCGGGGCUCAAAAUCGUACGUAUGCUCUAGCAGAUCGACAGAAUUUAGAGGCUUCUCCAGAUGUGGUUACGGGUAUGUUGGCUAUAUUUUCAUUCAAUUUAUAUGCCUUAAUUGAUCCCGGUUCUACAUUAUCUUAUGUUACUCCAUUGGUUGCUGGAAAGUUCGAAAGAAUACCCGAACUGUUAGUUAAGCCAUUUGAAGUGUCCACACCGGUCGGGGAAUCUAUUAUAGCUAGAAGGGUUUAUCGAAACUGCAUAGUAACUGUUUGUGGUCGUGAUACGAUGGCUGAUCUUGUGGAGUUAGAAAUGGUAGAUUUUGAUGUUAUAAUGGGUAUGGACUGGUUGGCGUCUUGUUAUGCCACAAUUGAUUGCUGCACGAAAAAGGUAUAUUUCCAUUUUCCAAAUGAAUCAGUCCUUGAAUGGAAAGGUGAAAUUAGCGUGCCAAGAGGUAGAUUUAUUUCUUAUUUUAAGGCGAGAAGAAUGAUUUCCAAGGGAUAUAUAUAUCAUUUAGUUAGAGUAAGGGAUACAGAAGCGGAGCCACCAACUCUUCACGCUGUUCCGGUGGUAAAUGAAUUUUCUGAUGUAUUUCCUGAAGAUCUUCCAGGUUUGCCUCCUGAACGAGAAGUAGAGUUUGGUAUUGAUGUAAUACCAGGCACCCAACCAAUCUCCAUUCCUCCGUAUAGAAUGGCCCCAGCAGAAUUACGAGAAUUGAAAGAGCAAUUGAAAGAUUUGCUAGAAAAGGGGUUCAUUAGGCCUAGUAUUUCCCCUUGGGGAGCACCAGUGUUAUUUGUACGCAAAAAGGAUGGCUCGCUGAGGAUGUGUAUUGAUUAUCGGCAAUUGAAUAAGGUGACUAUUAAGAAUAAAUAUCCUCUCCCAAGAAUUGAUGAUUUAUUUGAUCAGUUACAGGGCGCCAAGUGCUUUUCUAAGAUUGAUUUGAGGUCAGGUUACCACCAAGUGAGGGUCAAAGAAAAAGAUAUACCCAAAACAGCUUUCCGAACAAGGUAUGGUCAUUAUGAGUUUCUAGUUAUGUCAUUUGGGCUAACAAAUGCACCCGCAGCUUUUAUGGAUUUGAUGAAUAGGGUUUUUAAGCCAUUCCUGGAUGUAUUUGUGAUAGUUUUUAUAGAUGAUAUUCUAGUUUAUUCUAGAUCAGAAGAGGACCAUGCCAAUCACUUACGACAGGCAUUGCAGACUCUUCGUGAUUGUAAGCUUUAUGCAAAGUUCUCUAAAUGUGAGUUUUGGUUAAAGUCGGUGGCAUUUUUGGGUCAUAUUGUAUCUAGUGAAGGGAUAAAGGUUGAUGCUCAAAAGAUAGAGGCUGUGAAGAACUGGCCAAGGCCCACAACGCCUACGGAGAUUCGUAGUUUUCUUGGGUUGGCCGGUUAUUAUAGAAGGUUUGUCAAAGACUUUUCUUCCAUUUCAGCACCCUUAACCAAGCUAACCCAUAAAGCAUCCAAAUUCCAAUGGAAUGAUGCCUGUGAGAAGAGUUUUCAAGAUUUAAAGAACAAGUUGAUUUCUACACCCGUGUUGGUACUACCAGAAGGCACCGAAGGGUAUACAGUGUAUUGUGAUGCUUCCAGAAUUGGUUUAGGAUGUGUAUUGAUGCAGCAUGGUAAGGUAAUAGCAUAUGCUUCUAGACAAUUACGGCCACAUGAGAAAAAUUAUCCUACACACGAUCUUGAGCUGGCAGCGGUUAUUUUUGCUUUAAAGAUAUGGCGCCACUACUUAUAUGGGGUUCACGUUGAUAUAUAUACUGACCAUAAGAGCUUGCAAUAUAUUUUUAAUCAGAAGGAUCUAAAUUUAAGGCAGCGGAGAUGGCUUGAACUAUUAAAGGACUAUGAUGUUGAUAUCUUGUACCAUCCAGGGAAAGCAAAUGUGGUAGCUGAUGCGUUAAGUCGUAAGGCUAUGAUGGCGCCUAUAGAAAGGCAAGGGAUGGUUAAAGAUCUUCACCAGUUAGCUAGUUUGGGAGUUCGCCUUCUUGAAACUCCGAAUAAAGAGCUUAUCGUACAUAAUGCUGCGGAAUCUUCAUUAGUAGCUGAAGUGAAAGAGAAGCAAUAUGCAGAUCCUAUUUUAUUACAUCUUAAGGAGAACGUUCAGAGUGGUGCGACCAAGGCAUUUGAGCUUACGCGAGAAGGAGUACUUCAGUGCCAAAACCGAUUGUGUGUGCCGGAUAUAGACGGGCUAAGAAAGAAGAUUAUGACAGAGGCACAUUUUUCAAGGUAUUCCAUUCAUCCAGGAUCAACCAAAAUGUAUCAAGAUUUGAAAGAUAUGUAUUGGUGGAAUGACAUGAAGAAGAGCAUUGCAGAAUUUGUAGCUGAAUGUCCAAAUUGUCAAAGAGUUAAAGUUGAGCACCAAAAACCCGGAGGCUAUAUGCAAUGCAUAGAUCUUCCAAUUUGGAAGUGGGACAUGAUCAACAUGGAUUUUGUUACAGGUUUGCCUCGUACAGCUCGAAAAUUUGAUUCUAUAUGGGUGAUUGUGGAUAGGCUUACUAAAUCCGCACAUUUCUUACCCGUUAAGACCACUUACACAGUUGAAGAAUAUUCGAAGCUGUAUGUUAAAGAAAUAGUCCGAUUACAUGGAGUGCCAACUUCUAUUAUAUCGGAUCGGGGAACUCAAUUUACUGCAAACUUUUGGAAGUCUUUCCAACGGGGUUUGGGAACACAAGUGAAUCUGAGUACAGCUUUUCACCCUCAGACGGAUGGACAAGCAGAGCGCACCAUUCAAACACUUGAAGAUAUGCUACGAGCAUGUGUUAUAGAUUUUAAAGGCAGCUGGGAUGAUCAUUUACCUCUUAUUGAGUUUGCCUACAAUAAUAGCUAUCAUUCAAGUAUCAAAAUGGCACCAUAUGAAGCUUUAUAUGGGAGAAAGUGUAGAUCACCAAUAGGAUGGUUCGAAGCGGGUGAAACUCUUAUGUUCGGACCGGAUCUUGUGUAUCAAGCCAUAGAAAAAGUCAAGGUGAUACAACAACGGCUAAAAACAGCCCAAAGUCGUCAUAAAUCAUAUGCAGAUAUUCGGAGAAGAGGGCUGGAAUUCUCUAUUGGAGAUUGGGUAUUUUUAAAGGUAUCACCAAUGAAAGGGGUUAUGAGAUUUGGUAAAAAAGGGAAACUAAGCCCACGUUACAUAGGGCCAUAUAAGAUUACCAAGAGGGUCGGACAAGUUGCAUAUGAAUUAGAGCUACCCCAGGAACUUUCAAUGGUUCAUCCAGUGUUUCAUGUGUCAAUGCUUCGAAAAUGCAUAGGUGACCCCUCUCGUAUCACUCCUAUAGAAGAUGUACAGGUCACAGAGGAUCUUACUUAUGAAGAGGUACCGGUUGCUAUUCUAGAUCGCCAAGUUAAAAAGUUAAGGAACAAAGAAAUGGCAUCAGUAAAGGUACUUUGGAGAAAUCAACAAAGGGAAGAGAUUACAUGGGAAGCUGAGGAAGCAAUGAAAUCUAAGUACCCUCAUUUGUUCAAAGAUGAAGAGGAAGUUCAAGAAACGGAGUUAGAACAUUAACAAGUAAGUUUUUGUUUAUAUAUGCAUAGUAUUUAUGUGAUGAUGUGAAUGUUAAUGGUGGACUUGAACUUGUUUCGGCUAAAUAACUACAUUCACAUUCGAGGACGAAUGUCCUUAAGGGGGGAAGGAUGUAACACCCCGUACUUAAUUACGUGCAUUAGUCAUUGUUAUAUGUGUUGGGGUAUAUGUAUUGAUCCUAAGUUAGGUAUAUAUGAGUUUAAGUAUGAGUAUUGAUUAUUUUGAGAUGGUUUCAAGUGUAUAGUUUGAUUAUAGGUGUAUAGGAAUCGACUUUAUUUAUAUCGGAAUUUUCCCGUCGAUGGUUCCAUACGAAGGUUAUUGAAUAAGCUUUCCAACGAUAUAAAGAUUUCCAAAAACGGAUAAGUUUCGGAUAUAAGCGAGCUCGUUCGAAACUUUAAAACGGUGGCCGGGAUGUGAACAGUAAAAUGUGCAGGAAACUACUGAGGCCUGCCAGUUUUUUGGGUCAACUUUGAACGAUCAUAACUCCCUCAAUAUAAUGAACUGGUUGAGCUACCAUAUAUCAAAAGAAAGAUCUUUGAGUCUUCUUUCCAAUGAAAUUGGUUUCAUCCAAAUCCAACAUCUGAGUAAGGAGUUAUACUCGUUUUACUUCAGCCUCUCAAAACAGAUUUUUAGGGUCAACUUCAAACGAUCAUAACUACUUGUACAGGACGAACUGGGUGGAUUAAUUUAUAUUAAAUGAAAUACCUUUGAAUUAUCUUUCUAACGAUACCAAUUUCACCCAAAUCCGAUAUCGGAGCAAAGAGUUAUGGCCGAUUUACUUUAGCCUAUCAAAACAGUCCACCAUGGACAGAUUCGGAUUUACUUAAAUUUUUAAGGGCAAUAUGGUCAUUUUCCAUCACCUCUUGAACGAAAAUUGGUCAUUAUAUACAUAUACUUAGCCUCAUAUCCAUUAUUUAUCAUCCAUUAUUGAAAACUAAGAAACCCUAGCCAAAUUUCAACUCCAAUUAUCUUGUGAUUCAACCGUAGAAAAUCCAAAUUGAUUCCGUAGUUGUGUUCACCGUCUCAAGGGCUUCGAGAAGCACCCCUUAUUUGUGCCAACAGGACUUCGAAAUCAAAAGGGCCAUUUUUUUGGUAAGGAUGUAAAUUAUGUUGGUGUUAUUUAUAUGGAUAUGUAUAUAUAUAUAUAUAUGCAUGUGAGCAUAAGAAGUAUGUUAUUUGAUUGUUGUUGAAAGAUGAUUGGAAAUGAUGUUGGAUUAUUCUUGUGCAUGGUUGGAUUAUGUUAAAUUGUGAAGGAAUUUGGGGUGAUGAUGUGGUAUUGAUGAUGUGGUAUUGAAAUGAUGAUUAUAUAUAUAUACACACAUAAACCUAUUGUUCAAGUUGGUUUUUGGAAUGUUUUGCAAAUAUUGGUAGUAUGGAAUUAUGGAAGAGAAUUGUGGUGUUGGGUUGCUAAUACUAGAUGCCAAACAUUUCAUUGUAGAUAAGUGAUUUGUAAAGGCGGGAAGUUGUGUUGAAUUGGUAUCUGAAUCUACAACGAGGUAUGUAAAGCAUACUCUAACAAUGUUCUUUGGCAUGAAAACACCAAUGUUCCAUCAAGUAAGAUUCCGAGGUUGUCCAAAAACAUGUAUUGUUCUACGUUACCAACGAAGUUGUUUCCAUUCUAUAAAGUGUCAAAAUGUUUCAUUGAUAUACCAAAAGGCUCUUAUUUCAUUGUUGUGAUAUUGAUGAUUCUGAAACACAUUGUUGAUGUACCAAUGAGUCUUUAUUACAUCGUUAUUGUAUAGAAGGUCUAUUACUUGGUUCCUAUUGAUGUAUCAUUGUUUCAAAGUAUCAAAAAUGUGGUGGCGACCGAAAUAACAAUCUCAAAGAUUAAUUGAACUAAGUGAUGGAAGUUCUCUCUUAUCGGGUGGUAUCCCAGGGGCAUAAGCCUAGCAUGGGUCGAUCCCUAUUUAUGUGUUUAUGGGUGGUAUCCCAGGGGCAUAAGCCUAGCAUGGGUCGAUCCCAGUUGAUAUGUACUGGAGGCAUCCUAAUGGUCACAGUACAGUACAGUAAUGAUUACAAAGACGAUAAGAACGAAGGUAAAGUGAUUGAAUAAAUACAAUGUACAGGUUGUCACAAGUUCUAGUAAGUGUGGUCCACUCCUAUUAUGACUUAUUCACUUGUUUCUGAUUUCUAUUGAGCUCCUAUAUCAUAUGUGAUUAUCUACAGCUUUACAUACUCAGUACAUAUUUCGUACUGACGUCCCUCACGGGGGACCUGCAUUUCAUGCUGCAGGCACAGGUACCUCAGCUCAUUCACAGCAUAGAUAGGAGCCAGGUCAUACAGCUAUUGUUGGUGAGCUCCAG
RNAcentral lists this long non-coding RNA (8830 nucleotides) under Capsicum annuum. RNAcentral's name for it is "long non-coding RNA (CANN_LNC002623)". Lineage: Eukaryota; Viridiplantae; Streptophyta; Magnoliopsida; Solanales; Solanaceae. The record is from RNAcentral.